GGCCCCAAAGCUGAGUGUGGGGGAGUGGGUGCUAUCAGUGAGGGCCUUUGUGGUGGAGAACUGCAGGCCUGGCCUUGAAGCCUUCUUUGGGUCAUUCUUCCAUUGACCCGUCAAAGUCACUAAGCCCUACUUAUCCCUUCUCUGCAAUGUUUCUCUGGCCACGGGAAGCUGCCUGCGUGACAUCACCUUUGCAGCACUCAUUAGCACCUGCUGCAUGCCAGCCACUUCGCAGGCCUCGCCUCAUCCAGCAAUCACAACAGCCCCAUUUAGCAGCUCAGAAGGCUGAGGUUUAGAGAGGUGAAUCAACUUGCCAAAGGUCACCCAGCACAUGCUGUUGUUCUGAGCCACUGUGCUGCUCUGCCUCACACUGCGGGAGGGUGAGGCCUCCUGCCGGCAGCUGUGCUUUUCUGUUGGUUCUAGCCAUUGGUAUCCUUGGGCCUGGCUCUCCAGGGAC
Molecule: long non-coding RNA, 454 nt
Filed under: Homo sapiens (human)
Lineage: Eukaryota; Metazoa; Chordata; Mammalia; Primates; Hominidae
Description: LHRI_LNC56.1
Source: RNAcentral